Molecule: ribosomal RNA, 917 nt
Filed under: uncultured bacterium
Lineage: Bacteria
Description: bacterial SSU rRNA
Rfam family: Bacterial small subunit ribosomal RNA
Source: RNAcentral
AGAGUUUGAUCCUGGCUCAGAUCGAACGCUGGCGGCGUGGCUAAAGCAUGCAAGUCGAACGCGAAAGCUCCCUUCGGGGAGCCGGUAGAGUGGCGGACGGGUGAGGAAUACAUGGGUAACGUACCUUGAGCAUGGGGAUAGCUGUGGGAAACUACAGGUAAUACCCAAUGAUACCACAGUUUCAUAAGGCACAGUGGUCAAAGGCGGGGAUCCGCUUCGGCGGACCUGUUGGCUUGAGAGCGGCCCAUGUCCUAUCAGCUUGUUGGUGAGGUAACGGCCCACCAAGGCAACGACGGGUACCGGGACUGAGAGGUUGAUCCGGCACAUUGGGACUGAGACACUGCCCAGACUCCUACGGGAGGCUGCAGCAACGAAUAUUGUCCAAUGGGCGCAAGCCUGAGACAGCGACGCCGCGUGCGGGAAUAAGCCCUUCGGGGUGUAAACCGCUGUCAGGGACCACCAAGCGAUGGGGGCUAAUAUCCCCCGGAGUUGAGGAAUCCCAAAGGAAGCCACGGCUAACUUCGUGCCAGCAGCCGCGGUAAGACGAAGGUGGCAAGCGUUGUUCGGAAUCACUGGGCUUAAAGAGCACGUAGGCGGCUCACCAAGCGUCGUGUGAAAUCCCUCGGCUUAACCGAGGAACUGCUCGGCGAACUGGUGGGCUUGAGGCAGGUAGGGGCGCGCGGAACUCUUGGUGGAGCGGUGGAAUGCGUAGAUAUCAAGAGGAACGCCGGUGGCGAAGGCGACGCGCUGGGCCUGUCCUGACGCUGAGGUGCGAAAGCCAGGGGAGCGAACGGGAUUAGAUACCCCGGUAGUCCUGGCCCUAAACGAUGUCCACUAGGUCGAAAGGUUCUCUGACGGAGUUUCGGCCGAAACAAAAGCGUUAAGUGGACCGCCUGGGGAGUACGGUCGCAAGGCUA